Molecule: non-coding RNA, 215 nt
Organism: Jatropha curcas
Lineage: Eukaryota; Viridiplantae; Streptophyta; Magnoliopsida; Malpighiales; Euphorbiaceae
Source: Rfam
ACGACCUUACUUGAACAGGAUCUGUUCUAUAGGAGCGUACAUCUGUAUCCUUUAGCACAAAGGAGACAGGAACCCAAACCUGGUUGAUGAAUCAGGACCGUGCGAUCCGAGCGUGAUUAACGGUUUGCUAGGUCCUUGGAUCUAGGUUUGACUGUAGAGGAUCGUACCCAGCCAGCCUUGCUGAAUGGGUUGGUCGCAUGGUUGUCUGACAGGCU